Molecule: ribosomal RNA, 478 nt
Filed under: uncultured bacterium
Lineage: Bacteria
Description: partial 16S ribosomal RNA
Rfam family: Bacterial small subunit ribosomal RNA
Source: RNAcentral
GACGAACGCUGGCGGCGUGCUUAACACAUGCAAGUCGAACGGUAAGGCCCUUCGGGGUACACGAGUGGCGAACGGGUGAGUAACACGUGGGUGAUCUGCCCUGCACUUCGGGAUAAGCCAGGGAAACUGGGUCUAAUACCGGAUAGGACCCUGGGAUGCAUGUCCUGGGGUGGAAAGCUUUUGCGGUGUGGGAUGGGCCCGCGGCCUAUCAGCUUGUUGGUGGGGUGAUGGCCUACCAAGGCGACGACGGGUAGCCGGCCUGAGGGGGUGACCGGCCACACUGGGACUGGGAUACGGCCCAGACUCCUACGGGAGGCAGCAGUGGGGAAUAUUGCACGAUGGGCGCAAGCCUGAUGCAGCGACGCCGCGUGAGGGAUGACGGCCUUCGGGUUGUAAACCUCUUACAGCACCGACGAAGCGCAAGUGACGGUAGGUGCAGAAGAAGGACCGGCCAACUACGUGCCAGCAGCCGCGGUAA